AGCGCAAGCGGCUGUGGAGUGUAUAGAAGUGAGAAUGCCGGAAUGAGUAGCGCGAAUGCAGUGAGAAUCUGCAUGGCCGAAAGCCUCAGGUUUCUGGAGGAAGGUUCGUCCGCUCCAGGUUAGUCGGGAGCUAAGGUGAGGCCUAACGGCGUAGCCGAUGCACAGACGGUAGAGAUUCCGUCACCACCAAAAGAGUUAAACACAGGGACACAUAUGAAGUCUCGGAGCCGGGUGUUGGUUCCGGUAGCGAUCGAGGGAAGUUAGUACCGAAGUCCGGGAUGGAAGAUGGCGAGAAAAGCUGUGUGUAUUUCUGCGGUGCCCGUACCGCAAACCGACACGGGUAGGUAGGAAGAAGAUUCUAAGGCCAACGGGAGAAGGGUUGUUAAGGAACUCGGCAAAUUGACCCCGUAACUUCGGGAGAAGGGGUGCUGCAGCAAUGCAGCCGCAGAGAAUCGGCCCAAGCAACUGUUUACCAAAAACACAGGUUUGUGCUAAAUCGAAAGAUGACGUAUACGAGCUGACGCCUGCCCGGUGCUGGAAGGUUAAGAGGAGAUGUGCAAGCAUUGAAUCGAAGCCCCAGUGAACGGCGGCCGUAACGAUAACGGUCCUAAGGUAGCGAAAUUCCUUGUCGGGUAAGUUCUGACCCGCAUGAAAGGCGUAAUGAUUUGGGCACUGUCUCAACAGCCCGCCCGGCGAAAUUGUAGUACCGGUGAAGAUGCCGGUUACCCGCGACAAGACGGAAAGACCCCAUGGAGCUUUACUGUAGCCUAAUAUUGGGUUUCGAUGUUGCAUGCACAGGAUAGAUGGGACACAGGGAAGCAGGUGCUUUGGCGCUUGUGGAGUGGCCGUUGGGAUACCAUCCUUGCGAUAUUGGAAUUCUAACCUGCGCCUUUGAAUCAAGGCGGGGGACAUUGUUAGGUGGGCAGUUUGACUGGGGCGGUCGCCUCCUAAAGAGUAACGGAGGCGUUCAAAGGUUCGCUCAGCUUGAACGGAAAUCAAGCAAAAGAGUGCAAACGCAGAAGCGAGCCUAACUGCGAGACUGACGGGUCGAGCAGUAACGAAAGUUGGAGUUAGUGAUCCGGUGGUAUGUGAGUGGAAAUGCCAUCGCUCAACGGAUAAAAGUUACCCUGGGGAUAACAGGCUGAUCUCCCCCAAGAGUCCACAUCGACGGGGAGGUUUGGCACCUCGAUGUCGGCUCAUCGCAUCCUGGGGCUGUAUUCGGUCCCAAGGGUUUGGCUGUUCGCCAAUUAAAGCGGUACGCGAGCUGGGUUCAGAACGUCGUGAGACAGUUCGGUCCCUAUCUGUCGUGGGCGCAGGAUAUUUGAUGGGAGCUGUUCCUAGUACGAGAGGACCGGAGCGGACGUACCUCUGGCGCACCAGUUGUUCUGCCAAGAGCAUAGCUGGGCAACUAUGUACGGAUCGGAUAAACGCUGAAAGCAUCUAAGCGUGAAGCCGACCCAAAGAUAAGAUAUCCCAUUGUUUCAAACAAGUAAGACCCCUUGAAGACUACAAGGUUGAUAGGCACGAUGUGUAAGUGGAGCGAUCCAUUCCGCAAGCGUGUACUAAUAGGUCGAGGGCUUGACCG
This 1585-nucleotide ribosomal RNA is filed under the name metagenome. Its description in RNAcentral is "bacterial LSU rRNA". It matches the Rfam family "Bacterial large subunit ribosomal RNA", at positions 1260 to 2925 of the family's 2925-position model. The record is from RNAcentral.